RNAcentral lists this ribosomal RNA (371 nucleotides) under uncultured organism. RNAcentral describes it as "bacterial SSU rRNA". It matches the Rfam family "Bacterial small subunit ribosomal RNA", at positions 526 to 896 of the family's 1533-position model. The record is from RNAcentral.
CGGAGGGUGCAAGCGUUGUUCGGAAUUACUGGGCGUAAAGCGCACGUAGGCGGGUCUGUAUGUCGAUUGUGAAAUCCCCGGGCUUAACCUGGGAAUUGCAGUCGAAACUGCAGAUCUUGAAUGUUUGAGAGGAUGGCGGAAUUCCUGGUGUAGUAGUGAAAUACGUAGAUAUCAGGAAGAACACCCGAGGCGAAGGCGGCUAUCUGGUGAUACAUUGACGCUGAGGUGCGAAAGCGUGGGGAGCAAACAGGAUUAGAUACCCUGUAGUCCACGCCGUAAACGAUGGAUACUAGAUGUUCGGAGAGUUAACCCUCUGAGUAUCAAAGCUUACGCAUUAAGUAUCCCGCCUGGGGAGUACGGUCGCAAGGCUA